RNAcentral lists this ribosomal RNA (845 nucleotides) under uncultured Acidobacteriota bacterium. RNAcentral's name for it is "bacterial SSU rRNA". It matches the Rfam family "Bacterial small subunit ribosomal RNA", at positions 60 to 918 of the family's 1533-position model. Lineage: Bacteria; Pseudomonadati; Acidobacteriota. The record is from RNAcentral.
CGCUGAACUUCCGGUAGCAAUACCGGGAGGGAGGCGUGGCGAACGGGUGAGUAACGCGUGGACAACCUGCCCGCAAGUGGGGAAUAACUCCGGGAAACUGGAGCUAAUACCGCAUAACGUCCCGAGGUCGUAGGAUUUUGGGACCAAACCUGCAAGGGGCUCGCGGAGGGGUCCGCGUCCGAUCAGCUAGUUGGUGAGGUAAUGGCUCACCAAGGCGGAGACCGGUAGCCGAUCUGAGAGGAUGGUCGGCCACACUGGAACUGAGACACGGUCCAGACUCCUACGGGAGGCAGCAGUGGGGAAUAUUGCGCAAUGGGGGAAACCCUGACGCAGCGACGCCGCGUGGAGGACGAAGCCCUUCGGGGUGUAAACUCCUUUCGACGGGGACGAACCUGCCGAGCAAUCGGCACUGACGGUACCCGUAGAAGAAGCCCCGGCUAACUACGUGCCAGCAGCCGCGGUAUACGUAGGGGGCGAGCGUUGCUCGGAAUUACUGGGCGUAAAGGGUCCGUAGGCGGCCAGGUCAGUCGACGGUGAAAUCUCCCGGCUUAACUGGGAGGGGUCCGCCGAAACUGCCGGGCUCGAGGGCCGGAGAGGCGAGUGGAAUUACCGGUGUAGCGGUGAAAUGCGUAGAUAUCGGUAGGAACACCGGAGGCGAAGGCGGCUCGCUGGACGGCUCCUGACUUAAGGGACGAAAGCUGGGGGAGCAACAGGAUUAGAUACCUGGUAGUCUCAGCUGUAAACAUGAUCACUAGGUGUGCCCGACGUCCGUUGGGGUACCGCAUCUAACGCACUAAUGAUCCGCCUGGGAGUAGGUCGCAGGCUGAACUCAACGAAUGACGGGG